Molecule: ribosomal RNA, 154 nt
Filed under: uncultured bacterium
Lineage: Bacteria
Description: partial 16S ribosomal RNA
Rfam family: Bacterial small subunit ribosomal RNA
Source: RNAcentral
AAAGCCUGAUGGAGCAAUGCCGCGUGAGUGAAGAAGGUUUUCGGAUCGUAAAACUCUGUUGUUGAAGAAGAACAUGCGUGAGAGUAACUGUUCACGUACUGACGGUAUUCAACCAGAAAGCCACGGCUAACUACGUGCCAGCAGCCGCGGUAAU